RNAcentral lists this ribosomal RNA (481 nucleotides) under Listeria monocytogenes. RNAcentral describes it as "bacterial SSU rRNA". It matches the Rfam family "Bacterial small subunit ribosomal RNA", at positions 823 to 1305 of the family's 1533-position model. The record is from RNAcentral. Lineage: Bacteria; Bacillati; Bacillota; Bacilli; Caryophanales; Listeriaceae.
UUAGGGGGUUUCCGCCCCUUAGUGCUGCAGCUAACGCAUUAAGCACUCCGCCUGGGGAGUACGACCGCAAGGUUGAAACUCAAAGGAAUUGACGGGGGCCCGCACAAGCGGUGGAGCAUGUGGUUUAAUUCGAAGCAACGCGAAGAACCUUACCAGGUCUUGACAUCCUUUGACCACUCUGGAGACAGAGCUUUCCCUUCGGGGACAAAGUGACAGGUGGUGCAUGGUUGUCGUCAGCUCGUGUCGUGAGAUGUUGGGUUAAGUCCCGCAACGAGCGCAACCCUUGAUUUUAGUUGCCAGCAUUUAGUUGGGCACUCUAAAGUGACUGCCGGUGCAAGCCGGAGGAAGGUGGGGAUGACGUCAAAUCAUCAUGCCCCUUAUGACCUGGGCUACACACGUGCUACAAUGGAUAGUACAAAGGGUCGCGAAGCCGCGAGGUGGAGCUAAUCCCAUAAAACUAUUCUCAGUUCGGAUUGUAGGC